UACGAAGGGUGCAAGCGUUACUCGGAAUUACUGGGCGUAAAGCGUGCGUAGGUGGUUCGUUAAGUCUGAUGUGAAAGCCCUGGGCUCAACCUGGGAAUGGCAUUGGAAACUGGCGACCUAGAGUGCGGUAGAGGGUAGUGGAAUUCCCGGUGUAGCGGUGAAAUGCGUAGAGAUCGGGAGGAACAUCCGUGGCGAAGGCGACUACCUGGACCAGCACUGACACUGAGGCACGAAAGCGUGGGGAGCAAACAGG
Molecule: ribosomal RNA, 253 nt
Filed under: uncultured bacterium
Lineage: Bacteria
Description: partial 16S ribosomal RNA
Rfam family: Bacterial small subunit ribosomal RNA
Source: RNAcentral